This is a long non-coding RNA of Aethalodelphis obliquidens (Pacific white-sided dolphin), 1924 nucleotides long. RefSeq lists it as uncharacterized. The record is from RefSeq and is a predicted model, not a curated record. The transcript is spliced from 5 exons. Lineage: Eukaryota; Metazoa; Chordata; Mammalia; Artiodactyla; Delphinidae.
CUGUUGAUGGGAAUGUAAAUUGGUGCAGCCGCUAUGGAGAACGGGCAAACCACACGCCGGCCCGCAGCCCAGGGCGCCGGGUACACCGCACAGCCCCAAGGCCCCACCAAGCGCCACUUCCUCCCCGAAACCUCCGGUCUCUGCAGCAGCCCCCACACCUGGUGCUCGAGCAUCUGAGGGCAACUCACAGGCUCUAACUGCAACCUGUCAGCCUAGGCCCUGGCAGCCGGUCACAGUGGAAUGAAGUAUACCUGUGACUCUGUCACUGACAGAAAUCAUGACUCUCUUCAUAGCCCAUUACAGGUGGAGUGAAUGUCUACAUUAUGCUGAACUUCCAGAACCAGCUAGAGAUACAACAGCGACAGAGUCCUUCCUUCUGGUGAAGUGGACAGAUGAGCAGGCAGGCGACCUCUAUGGAGAGACAGACGCAGCUGAGAGAAUUCAGGCCCUUUUGUCUUAUUUUCCUACAUUGUCAAGGAUCCACAUUACAAGGUUGAAGAGAAGCGGUGAUGGCAGGUACCCCUUCUUUCUAGUGUUUUACUAUUACAUGUCAUGAUUUGUGCAAACUUCUGGUAGACCCUGGUUAGGGUUAGGAAUGUGGCCUCUGUGCCUGCGUUGCUAAGAGUUUAUCAACAAUAUCCAGCUUGUCAAAUGUUUUUGGAGUGCCUACUGAAAUAACUAUGCCUCAAUUCCGUGAAUUACACUGAUAGGUUCCCUAAUAACCAAUUCCUGUAUUUGUUAGAUAAACCUACUUGUCAUGAAGUAUUUGUGUUUAAUGUAGAGACUGAGAUAUAGUAGAUCACCCCAAAUGAACAGGAGGCCAAUGGCUAAUGAAACAGAAGAGAUAGUGACAGAUACGGAUCGUAUCUUUGUUCCAAGAAGGGCACAUCAGUGGGGGAAAAAUCCCAAAGGAGCAAGAUUCUUCAAAGAACCUUUGACCCUGUUGUAAUAAGAUGGAGAAAAUUGUAUUCAACCAAGUUAAUAUCGAGGAGAGUUCUAGGUGCAUUUGGAAGAAACAUUUUGAUAAACAGUUUGCAAUUGUUGAAAUGUCUACCCAAGAAGAGCCUCAUGUUGGGCUAAGAACCUGAGCUGCUGGGAUGGGCAGGGCUGGGACAGAGCUGACUUGUCUCUGGCAUGAAAAGGAGAGGAAGAAAAGGUAGAAGGGGAAAGCCAAAGAGACUGGGCAGUGCUGGGGAGAAAGGAGAAAAAGAAAAGGAAGCAAACCCUGGCAUUGGGGCAGCCAAGGAGGGCCACUGGGGAGAAGGGAUUGUCUACUGGGCUAUAGGUUGUUUGGUGUAGUUACCUGCGACUGAUGCUUUUGCACAUCUGGGGCCCAGUGGGGGAGCAGGGAAAGGGCCAACUUCUGUCUGCAGCUGGAGGAUGCCAUGCAGGUGGAGCAUAGGAGCUGAGGGCAUCUGACUUCUAGAUCAACCCAAGGUUUGGGAGUUGACAGAACCUUGCACCCGAGCUGGCUUGGGGGUUACAAGGGGAAAGGGCUAAGUACGACUUGGGGGAUGAAACUUCUGGUCUGGAGGAUCUUAAUCACAUGUAUGUGGAUCCUUCAAAGAAUCUAUGACUAAAACUCAGAGGGUUCAUGAACUUAAAUAGGAAAAAUUUACAUCUUUAUUUUCCCUAACCUCUCACUGAAAUUGAGCAUUGCCUUCUAUUAUGAACACAGGCAACAAUCCCUAAGGUUUAGCCGUGCCGAGAGAAAUAACAGAUUUUCACACCACACUUUAGUUGUUGCCAAUAUCUCAAAAUAUUUUUUAUACUCGUUGCUGCUUUGAAAUCACGUGGUCAUAGACCCACCAUCUGGGCAUCAGAAAGAGUAUGAUGGGGCUUCCCUGGUGGCGCAGUGGUUGAGAGUCUGCCUGCCGAUGCAGGGGAUGCGGGUUCGUGCCCCGGUCCGGGAAGAUCCCACAUG